UUAACUUAAAUUUGUAUGGAGUUGGAAAGUUUCCAACGUUUGCCGCUAGGGGCGCUGUUCCAACUGCAUACAAAUUUGAGUUA
Non-coding RNA from Bombyx mori (domestic silkworm), 83 nucleotides. NCBI's taxonomy places the organism in Eukaryota, Metazoa, Arthropoda, Insecta, Lepidoptera, Bombycidae. The record is from Rfam.